GCAGUCGUGCGGUGUGACUUGGACAGCUUGCUGCUCUCUGAUGGCACGCGGAGGGAGAAUAAUUAAAAAGGCCAGCAUCACUUACUAAGACUCCCCAGUACAUUCCAAGUUUCCUGAGCAGGAGAAAUAGAUUUUGCAGAAGUGAGCCACGGAGACCCAAAUGAGGAGGAAAUAAACCAGCUGUGGAUGACUUGGGCACCCUCCAUCGCAUGUGUUUGGCAUUCAUAGAGACCUGUGUCUGCAGUGUGUGUGUGUGCGUGUGUGAAGCACUCUUCAUCUCAAGUGAGUAAGAAAAAAAAGAUAGAAAUCCCCAGAAGAGAGAGAUCCUGCCUGUAGUUUGGAAGAAGCCACGCGGUACCUGAGAUAACUUCAACAGCAAAGGGCACUUCAGCAAAUGGUGAAGACAGCAAGAAGGCUCCUCUUCUCACACAAUGACAUCUCACAAUCGUGCAGGGCUUUCCAAUUUCCACGGUGCUCUUCACACAUAUUACCCUGUUUAAUUCUCACUACAACCAGUGAUAUCGGCGAGACAGAUAGUCUUUAGCUAACUUUACAGAUGAGGGUACUCAGGCUCACAGAGAGAGGACUUGCCUAAGGUUGAAAGAUAAUAAGAGACAGCUGCAGGUCUUCUGGGUCUUAAUCUGGUGCCAUUUUAGUAUUUUUCAUAGGUUCUUAUAAAAAACAUCCUCUUUAGAACCCGUGACUUAAAGGUGCCUUGAUUCUUAAAAAAUAAAAUUCUUUAGAGAUAGGGUCUUGCUGUGUUGUCCACGCUGGAGUGGUCACAGCUCACUGCAGCCUUAUUCUCCUGGGAUCAAGUAAUCCUCUCACCUCAGCCUCUUAAGUAGCUGGGACUACAGGUGCACACCACUAUGCCCAGCUAAUUUUUUUUAAAAGAUGGGGUUUUGCCAUGUUGUCUACCCUGGACUGAGACUCCUGCCCUCAAGCAAAUCCUCCUCCAAAUUGCUGGAAUUAUGGGUGUGAGCCACCAAAUGCAGCCUUUUUUUUUUUUUUUUUUUUUUUGGAGAGAACACGGUCUUGCUUUGUAGCUUGAGCUAGUAUUGAACUCCUGGCCUCAAGCUAUCUUCCUGCCUCAGCCUCCUAAAGUGCUGGGAUUACAGGCAUGAGCCACUAUGCCCACCCGCUUCCUUGAUUCUUGAUCCAUGCUCAUCCCCGCCUCACUUCUUCACCAUGAGGUUUUUUUUCUCAUAGCCUAUGUUAUUUGUAGUUAUGUGCACUUUGAAAAUACUUCCUGUAUCCUGCCAGCGAGGAAGAACCACAGCUAAUUUCCACUGGCAAAGGCAGAAGCCAUCCUUAACUUCCCAUUUUCCUCUAUUUGUUCCUCCUUUCCUUGAAAGUCAAGUUUACCCAUGAGCUGGUCUACAUUUGUACUAUUUUUACUUCUUCACUCCGCUUUGCAUCUCUACCCAGGGCUAUCUGCUUUCAUUCCUACUUUCCCAUUAAAACUGCUCUAAGUCAUUAACAACCAAUUCCACUGUGCCUUCCUCUCUGAAUCAUUGUAUUCAGUGACCACUCCCUCUCGCAAGACGUCUCCUCUGUCAUACCUGGCAUCAUUCUAUUCCUUCUUCAUUUCUGGUUACCUCCUCUCUAGCUUCAUGUCAGACUUAUCUUCCUUUAUUAAUGCCUUAAAUAUUAGUGUUUCUGAAGAGGGUUUCUGUGGCCACCUUCUAUUCUUAACUGUAAACACUUUGUUUUGUGUAAUGUAAAGCCUUGGCUUCAAUGAUCAUCUAUAGGCUGAUCAUCAAUUAUCAUCUCCAUCCCAAACCACUCUCCUGAAUUCAACCCAGGAUCUCUGGCUCCCUGCUGUUACCUCCUUGGGAUGGUCCACGAGCCCUUCAAUUCAGGGCACCCCAAAUCAUCCCCAAACCUGCCUCCCUUCACCCUCUUCUUUUUCUCCCCCAGCUGCUCUUCAAAUUCUCUCAUUUCUUUCCCUAUUUCUAUUUUCUCUUUUUUAUUGUAUUCCUAUCGCUCUUCUCUUAUUUUCCUAGUGGCUUUUCCAAAGGCCUAACUGUUCUCAUCAUUCUCAGAUAUGCCUUGCCCACAAUGCCUUCUCUGUACUAUGUCUAAUUGACCUACAGAAAGUGCAAAUGUGAUUAUCUUGCUCGCCUUUGUGAGAUCCUUCUGAGGAUCCCACCUUCUUACAUGGCCUUCCAGGCUGUUCAUGACCUGUGUGCUGCCUCUCCCUCGCCUGCUCUCUUCUAACUCGUCCAUUGCCCAUGCUCUGCUUCUAGGUCAUAAAAUGCCCCAUAACUCUUUCAUGCCUCUAGGAUUCCAUAUGAGGUUCCUGCUUCCUGGAACGUUCACCUCGGCUUCCUUCAUUUGACCAACUCCUCCUCCCCUUUCAAGACUGUUCCAGCAAGAAGCAUUUCUCCCCCGACCGAAACCUCCCAUGCUGGGUUACGUGCUACUGCAAGACCCUAUUCCUGCUUCCCUCUCCCACAGCAUGACUCCACUUUCACAAUGACCAAGUUUUCCCAUUUGACCAUGAGACACAUGGAGGCAGAGACCGUGCCCUUCAUCCCUGUCUUCCCAGCACCCAGCACAGAUCCCAAAAUAAACUGGGUGCUUAAUAAAUUAAUAUUACUAUUUUUAUUCCAAGUAUCAUAAAUAGUAUUUUUCCAGCUGUAAGAUUACAGGCCUCCAAAAUAAUCAAGCUGAGGGAAAUACAGCGACCGUUUCCCAUAGAGAAAAAAGGAUUUCCUAUUGGGCAAUUCUCACCUACAUCACUUUUUUGACUUCUUUCAGGCGAGAGACAAGCAGUGGGGUGGUCUUUAGGUGUUUGCUGAUGUGGUAGAAACUUUGGAGUUAAUUAGAAGCUCUGGCUAAGGCCGAACUUCCUUUGCAGAGUUCCUGGGAGGAAACACUAAAUUAACAGUUCAAGGUUACUAUUAGAAAAAUGGCCUGUUUCCCUAUGUUAUGCCUCAGAGAGUUUGUUCUUCUCUCUGCCAUUUCUAAGAUGUUUCCAUUUUCCUUUUUACCUGGGUAGGUUUGCCACCCUAAGCCCAGUCAUUCCAACACAGGUGAAAGCUCUUGAGGUCAGGGACUGAUUCUUCGCCUAUCUUCCAGCAGCGGUAGAUUCUGGGGCACUCAAUUAGUACCUGGUGGAGUUGAAUAGUGAGAAAAUCUGCUCAUCACAGAAGAAGGAACGGGGAUGAUUUCCUAAGUUCCCAUUUUCCACAAAGCAGAAAAUGGCAUGAGAUCAGUAGUACCAGACCUCCCUGGCAGUGCUAGAAAUAUCUCAAGAUACUAUGAGCAAUUUCUAAAUUUGGAAAUGCACUGAUUCUUGUUAUUUGCAGUAGUUAUGCUCUGUAAAGUUGCCACAGACACUGAGUUAGUGAAUACCGAACCAUCGCUCCUAGGGGAAAUAGAGAAUUAGGUUCCUGCAAGCCUCUGGUCACAAUGUUUUCAUCAAUGAAUCAAUACAGAGCCUCG
RNAcentral lists this long non-coding RNA (3450 nucleotides) under Homo sapiens (human). RNAcentral's name for it is "HSALNT0386849". The record is from RNAcentral. Lineage: Eukaryota; Metazoa; Chordata; Mammalia; Primates; Hominidae.